Molecule: ribosomal RNA, 253 nt
Filed under: uncultured bacterium
Lineage: Bacteria
Description: partial 16S ribosomal RNA
Rfam family: Bacterial small subunit ribosomal RNA
Source: RNAcentral
UACGUAGGGUGCAAGCGUUGUCCGGAAUUAUUGGGCGUAAAGAGCUCGUAGGCGGUCUGUUGCGUCGGCUGUGAAAACCCGGGGCUCAACCCCGGGCCUGCAGCCGAUACGGGCAGACUAGAGUUCGGCAGGGGAGACUGGAAUUCCUGGUGUAGCGGUGAAAUGCGCAGAUAUCAGGAGGAACACCGGUGGCGAAGGCGGCUCACUGGCCCGGUACUGACGCUGAGGUGCGAAAGCGUGGGGAGCAAACAGG